This 393-nucleotide ribosomal RNA is filed under the name uncultured bacterium. Its description in RNAcentral is "bacterial SSU rRNA". It matches the Rfam family "Bacterial small subunit ribosomal RNA", at positions 505 to 898 of the family's 1533-position model. The record is from RNAcentral.
GUGUCAGCAGCCGCGGUAAUACGUAGGGUGCGAGCGUUAAUCGGAAUUACUGGGCGUAAAGCGUGCGCAGGCGGUUCGUCGUGUCCGAUGUGAAAGCCCCGGGCUUAACCUGGGAACGGCAUUGGAAACUGGCGGGCUGGAGUGUGGCAGAGGGGGGUGGAAUUCCACGUGUAGCAGUGAAAUGCGUAGAGAUGUGGAGGAACACCGAUGGCGAAGGCAGCCCCCUGGGCCAACACUGACGCUCAGGCACGAAAGCGUGGGGAGCAAACAGGAUUAGAUACCCUGGUAGUCCACGCCCUAAACGAUGUCAACUGGGUGUUGGGGAAGCGAUUCCUUGGUACCGUAGCUAACGCGUGAAGUUGACCGCCUGGGGAGUACGGCCGCAAGGUUAAA